CAGUCGCCGCGGGAAUACAGAGGGUGCGAGCGUUAAUCGGAUUUACUGGGCGUAAAGCGUGCGUAGGCGGCUUCUUAAGUCGGAUGUGAAAUCCCUGAGCUUAACUUAGGAAUUGCAUUCGAUACUGGGAAGCUAGAGUAUGGGAGAGGAUGGUAGAAUUCCAGGUGUAGCGGUGAAAUGCGUAGAGAUCUGGAGGAAUACCGAUGGCGAAGGCAGCCAUCUGGCCUAAUACUGACGCUCAUGCACGAAAGCGUGGGGAGCAAACAGGAUUAGAUACCCGUGUAGUCCCUGUCUCUUAUAC
This 301-nucleotide ribosomal RNA is filed under the name uncultured bacterium. Its description in RNAcentral is "partial 16S ribosomal RNA". It matches the Rfam family "Bacterial small subunit ribosomal RNA", at positions 509 to 807 of the family's 1533-position model. The record is from RNAcentral.